AUGCAGAACCUGCUUCUCCCGAACGCGGCCGCCGCGCCCUGCUGCGCGCAGCCGAGGCGGCGGCCAUCCCGCCCCUCCGUUCGCGCCUCGGCAGUGUCGUCGUCGGCGCCUCGGCGGGAGACCGACCCGAGGAAGCGGGUGGUGAUCACGGGGAUGGGCCUGGUGUCCGUGUUCGGGAACGACGUGGACGUAUACUACGAGCGGCUCCUCGCCGGGGAGAGCGGCGUCGGCGCCAUCGACCGUUUCGACGCCUCCGGAUUCCCCACGCGCUUCGCCGCCCAGAUCCGCGGCUUCUCCUCCGAAGGCUACGUCGACGGCAAGCUCGACCGCCGCCUUGACGACAUCCACCGCUACGCCCUCGUCGCCACCAAGAAGGCCCUCGAGUGCGCAAGCCUCGCCCCCGGCACCAGCGCCAUGAGGAAGGUCGACAAAGAACGGGCCGGCGUGGUCGUCGGCUCCGGCAUGGGCGGCAUCACGGCGCUCUCCGACGGCAUCGCGAGCCUCGUGACCAAGGGGUGCGGGAAGAUAUCUCCACUGUGCAUCCCGCACGCCAUAACCAACAUCAGCUCCGCCUUGGUCACCAUGGGCGCUGCCGACGGCUUCCGAGGCCCGAACUACUCGAUCUCCACCGCGUGUGCCACCUCCAACCACUGCUUCAACAGCGCCGCCGACCAGAUCCGACUGGGCCGAGCCGACGUCAUGAUCGCCGGUGGCACCGAAGCUGGCAUCAUCCCGAUCGCCCUCGGCGCGUUCUUCGCGUGCAGGGCGCUGUCGCAGAGGAACGUCGACCCCGGCACGGCGUCGAGGCCGUGGGACAAGGACCGCGACGGCUUUGUCCUUGGUGAAGGAGCCGGAGUACUGGUCAUGGAAAGCCUUGAGCAUGCAAUGAGACGCGGCGCUCCGAUUCUCGCCGAGUACUUGGGAGGCGCCGUAAACAGUGAUGCUCACCACAUGACUGAUCCAAGACCAGAUGGCCUUGGUGUUUCAUCGUGCAUAAGAAGGAGCCUUGAAAAUGCAGGUGUGGCGCUGGAGGAGGUCAAUUACAUAAACGCCCACGCAACCUCGACCCUUGCUGGAGACCUGGCAGAAGUGAAAGCUUUGAAGCAAGUCUUCAAGGACCCAUCCCAGAUUAAGCUGAAUGCAACGAAGUCCAUGAUUGGCCAUAGCCUUGGCGCGGCAGGUGCCUUGGAAGCCAUUGCUACCAUCAAAGCGAUCACCACCGGAUGGCUACACCCAACUAUAAACCAGUUUAAUCCAGAACCGGCAGUUGAUCAAUUUGACACGGUGCCUAACGUGAAACAACAACACGAAGUAAAUGUUGGCAUCUCCAAUUCAUUUGGAUUUGGCGGACAGAAUUCAGUAGUCGUGUUUGCACCGUUUAAGCCGUGA
Molecule: ribosomal RNA, 1389 nt
Filed under: Triticum aestivum (bread wheat)
Lineage: Eukaryota; Viridiplantae; Streptophyta; Magnoliopsida; Poales; Poaceae
Description: partial small subunit ribosomal RNA
Source: RNAcentral